CCCUCGUGUUCGAGAUCGGGAGUUCGAACCUUACCUCUUACAAUUAUUUUUUGACCUUGUAUAUGCUCAGUAUACGGACGUAUUUUAUACGUAGAGCCGUAGCUUAGUAGAUUGCUACCGUUUUAGUAAAGAUGGAGUUUUGGUGGUUGGCUAGUAUUCUGUAUGAACAACAGAAAACCUUAAUCGGGAGAAAAGGACUUGCGAUUAAAUUUCGGGACGAAAUUUCUUUAAGGAGGGUAGACUGUAAUACCCCGAAAAAUCCAAAUUAAAUUCCAUGGAUUUUUAUUAUUGAUUUCUCGGUAUUAGGAGCGAGUACGAAGCUUGGAGAAGUUGUGGAAGUAGCUCGAACGAUUUUAUUUUCGAAAUCGAACGUUAUUUAGGGGGUCUCAAAAAGUGACUUUUUAUACGUAUGGAAUUUGGGAAAAUUUCCUUCAUGAAAGUUGUAGAGCUCGUCGAUACGAUCGCGUGCAUAUGUGGAACGCAAUAUUCGGAGUUCGUAUGAAUAAGUUAUGAAUAUUUGAAAAUUGGGAUUUUUCUAUAAAUAGGGGAAAAUUUUCUGAUUUUUUCAUUAAGGACGAAGAAGAUCAAAUUUUGCUGAAUAGUCCCCCUCCGGUUCUCUCUCUCUCGCUCGAAACCCUCCCCAUACCUGCAGACCCGUCGACCCGACCCGGCCCCAGCGUCGCCGUCGCUGCUUCUCCGGCUACAACCCGGCCUCACCGGACUCGCCGUACUCCGUAGAGCCUCCCUCUGGUGUCGUCUUGCUCCGCCGCUGCUCCGAAAGCUGGAUCGAAGGAGCCACAGUUCCGUCGGCGACCCGACCGGAAAACCUAUUUUCCGGCAUCCCCUCGGCCGAUCCUUCCCAUUUUCGUGAUCUCCUCCUCCCCCUGAUCAUCCCCAUGUAAGUCUUUCAUCACGAUUUUGUGUGUAGAACGCUAGAUCAAGGUUUGACUUUUUCGACGUCCCUGAUUUGAUCUAGGAUCUGAUCGUGCGUCCGAGAUUUAAUCCAACUUCAAAGCUUGAUCUAGGACGAUCUAGGCCGAACCGGACUUAGCUCCAGGUAUGAAAGUUGAUCUCCCUUUCAUUUUGAAGAAGUUUGUAGUUGACGACUUUUGCAUCGGAGGUGGUUGACCGCCUCGUUGACCGCCGUGUUGACCACCCACUGACCACCGCUUGUGGCGGCGCGUCGGACCUUAUUUUGAGUUUAUAUUAUCUGGACGAUGAUCUACGCAUCCAUACGAGCGUUUUGAUAUAUUAUAAGGUUAUUUUAGAAAAGGUUGAUAAAUAGUGGAUUUACGUUUUUACGUUUAUCUUCGGUUUUCGAUAUGUGAAGAUCAGACCAUCGGUUUUACUUCAAAUUUUAGUAUGUUGAUCGUAUGACUGUCCCGAUGACUUUGUGAGGUCACGGGCGAAGAUCCGACCGUUGGAUCUUUGUAUAAUUGUGAAAUAGUGAUUCGGAAGGCGAUUCGUGAGAAUCCGACCGUCGGAUUUUCAUGAAAUUUUGUGGAGAUGUUUAUAAGGACGAUUCAGGAAGAUCAGACCGUUGGAUCUUCGUGAUAAUUUUGGAGGAUGAUCCUAAGGGCGAUCCGUGAGGAUCCGACCGUUGGAUCGUCUUUAUUUUAGAAUCCAACCGUUGGAUCGUCUUUAUUUUAGAAUCUGACCGUUGGAUAGUCGUUUAAGUUUAUUUCGUGUUUCGUUUACUAAGCAAAGACCAUACUUGAUUAGGUACUUGACGGUUUGAGUUGACGAGCGUUUGGAAUAUCGUUAUAUUUGAGUUUUUAGAAGACGCAGCUGGAUUAGAGGUGAGUAAAUCUCACGUGGUUCAUAUUACGAACCCAAU
This 1837-nucleotide long non-coding RNA is filed under the name Rosa chinensis. RNAcentral's name for it is "sRNA RchiOBHm_Chr3g0464571". Lineage: Eukaryota; Viridiplantae; Streptophyta; Magnoliopsida; Rosales; Rosaceae. The record is from RNAcentral.